This is an RNA transcript of Odobenus rosmarus divergens (Pacific walrus), 2011 nucleotides long. It is a transcript of the gene named transmembrane protein 198-B-like, with no coding region annotated. The record is from RefSeq and is a predicted model, not a curated record. The transcript is spliced from 4 exons. Lineage: Eukaryota; Metazoa; Chordata; Mammalia; Carnivora; Odobenidae.
AUGGAGGAAGCCUUGUUGCCCCUGGCCAUGACCUCUGACCCCAGGCCCUUUAAUCAACAACUCCCAGAGCCUCCAGACCCAAGAUGUGUCUUGGAACGCCAGGACAAUCCUGAACUGGCACCCGCCCUGGUGUGUGCUCUUUGUUGCUGCUUUGGAAUCAUCUACUGCUGCUUCGGCUACCGCUGCUUCAAGGCAGUAAUGUUUCUCUCGGGCCUGCUGUCAGGAGCUCUGGUGAUCUUCCUGCUGUGCCACAAGGAGCGAGUGCUAGAGACACAGCUGAGCCUGGAGGUGAGCGCGGGCAUUGCGCUGGGCAUUGGACUCCUCUGUGGCCUGGUCACCAUGUUGGUUCGCAGCGUUGGGCUCUUCCUGACUGGUCUCCUGCUGGGCCUAACCCUGGGUGCCGGGGCCCUGCUGGGCACAGAGCCCAUCUACCAACCACCUUCAGCCUGGGUGCCGGCUGGGGGGCUGGUGGGGCUGGCACUGCUGGGAGCCCUGCUCACGCUUCGGUGGCCACGUCCAUUCACAGUUCUGGGCACAGCCCUGCUGGGUGCUGCGGUGCUGGUGGCCUGUGCUGACUACUUCCUAGAGGGGCUGGCACUGGGCAGUCGGCUGGGCCAACGCUUGCAGGCACUUCCAGCCUUGCCUCCUCUCUGCUGGUAUAGCUGGGUCUUGCUGGGCACCUGGCCAGCCCUGGGGGCCCUUGGGGCCCUAGCCCAGUGGAAGCUCAUGGAUGAGGAACAUGGAGGCCACGCCAAUGUGGUCUUGAGCCACCAGCGAAGGCAUCUUCAACUCCUUCGGAUCCGUCAGCAAGAGGCCAAGUGGCAUCGGACAUCCCCUGGGGUGGGGCUCUGUGAAGGCAGCUACCGGCGCCAGCUUCCCCCCAAUGCCCGGAGCCCUGCUGAUAGUCUGGCUCCUAGUUAUCUCCAGAGCCUUCGAGAGCGCCAACUGGGACCAGGCACCCAGGCCACAGCCCCCAACACCGUCCUGGAUCUGGAUUCUGACUGUGGUUCCACUGUACCCCUCACCACACCUUCUGGUUCCACCCAGACCUGAGCCUAAACCUCCACUGAUGCUUCCAUCCCUAGCAAGGGCCUUGGAACACCAAGUAUGCAGGGCCUGAGCCCACAGGACCCUCACACAAACUUCCCCACCUCUCUCACUGGGGAUAGAAUCUGUACUCCAACCCAGCCCAGCCCUGUAGGGAUAUGUUUCAGGGACAGAUAAAGGGGAAUCUUGUGGGGAGGGGAGAAGAAUGGAAGUAUGAGUACCUACCUCUGUCCAAUAAUAGAGGUGCCCUGGCCCCUAAAGUAACUGACUUCCUAAUUCCCUCCAAACCAAGGAGGGCCCUUACCCAAAAAGCCUUUUAUAUACUUGCCUCAGUGUGCCUCACAAUGGUAAAAUAAGGGCUUUUGUUGUAGGACCUACAGAAAACCAGGAAGCUCCCUAAAGCACUCAAUAGCUAUUUGAUGGGGAGAAGGGCACAAAGGAGCACUAAGAUCACCUAAUCCCUACACCUCUCAUUAGCGGGUGGUUGGCUCCUGGUUAGCCUUUCCUCCUGGGUCCAUAGGCUCAAGUCCCCUUCUCCUACCUCAGUUGGGAGUACUGUCCUCCAUGGUGCUUCCCUUUCUCUCCUAAAUGUGGGGGAGACCACGGGGCAAUGCAUGGUGCAGAACCUGCCUCCCCCCAAAGCUGUCUACUUGUUCCAAGGAGAGACAAUUUUCCCACAUGCCAGAGUUUUGCCCUUUUGCCCAAAGUAGCCCAGUCUUCACGGCUGCAUGGGAGACGAGUGCCUUCUCUGCUUCUCACUAUAGGUGAUGCUAAUCUCCUUAACUAGAACUUUGUCCCAGCCACCAACCCAUUCUAACUCCCUCCUCUGAUUCUCCUGCUCAGUCUGUUCCCUGGUUCCCCAGACAGCAUGAAGGAAGAUAUCUUCCUCCCCUGGGCAACAAAGCUAUGAUGGGAGGGAGGAAGAACACGGAGCAUGUGAAUAAAAUGGCAUUGAACACUGAAC